This 473-nucleotide ribosomal RNA is filed under the name uncultured bacterium. RNAcentral's name for it is "bacterial SSU rRNA". It matches the Rfam family "Bacterial small subunit ribosomal RNA", at positions 355 to 825 of the family's 1533-position model. The record is from RNAcentral.
UGGGGAAUUGUUCGCAAUGGGCGCAAGCCUGACGACGCAACGCCGCGUGGAGGAUGAAGAUUUUCGGAUCGUAAACUCCUUUCGAUCGAGACGAAUGGCCCUUGGGUGAAUAGCCUGAGGGAAUGACGGUACCGAGAGAAGAAGCCCCGGCUAACUUCGUGCCAGCAGCCGCGGUAAUACGAAGGGGGCUAGCGUUGUUCGGAAUUACUGGGCGUAAAGCGCACGUAGGCGGAUGUGCCAGUCAGGGGUGAAAUCCCGAGGCUCAACCUCGGAACUGCCUCCGAUACAGCACGUCUCGAGUCCGGAAGAGGUGAGUGGAAUUCCUAGUGUAGAGGUGAAAUUCGUAGAGAUGUGGAGGAACACCGAUGGCGAAGGCAGCCUCCUGGGCCAAUACUGACGCUCAUGCACGAAAGCGUGGGGAGCAAACAGGAUUAGAUACCCACGUAGUCCCUGAGCGGGCUGGCAAGGCGCAU